This 988-nucleotide unclassified non-coding RNA is filed under the name Hevea brasiliensis (rubber tree). The record is from RNAcentral. Lineage: Eukaryota; Viridiplantae; Streptophyta; Magnoliopsida; Malpighiales; Euphorbiaceae.
AAACAAGUUCAGAACAACAAACACAGAGAACACUAAAUACUAAAAUCAACAGAAUCCGCAUAAUAAGAGUAAAGAUAGGAAACAUCCCUAAUUAAACAAAAUAGUGCAAAUGCAAUCAAAAUCAAAACCAGCAGACUCAAGACCCGAUAACAUACCAAAACCAAAACGCCGCGAUCAUGCAGUAACAGCGGCACCAGCAGCAGCAAGUCGUUUCCUCGCCUCCUCAAUGAUGCUCAGCUUGAUACCCUUCCCCUUCGGAAGGGAGACCCAUGGCUUUGUUCCCUUACCGAUGGUGAACACAUUCCCAAGGCGAGUCGCAAACUCGUGACCGGUUGCAUCUUGGACAUGGAUCGUCUCAAAGCUGCCCUUAUGCUUCUCCCGGUUCUUGAUUAUGCCAACUCGUCCAGUGUUCCUCCCACCAGUAACCAUCACCACAUUCCCCACAUCAAAUUUGAUAAAGUCAAUAAUCUUGUUAGUUUCCAAAUCAAGCUUGAUGGUAUCAUUGGCCUUGAUGAGAGGAUCUGGGUAGCGAAUGGUCCUGCCAUCAUAGGUGUUCAGGUAGGGAAUGCCUUUCUGCCCAAACUGCACAGACCUCACCUUGCACAACUUAAACUUUCCCUCCUCAUCCUUUAUAGAGUGGAGACGGAAGCGACCCUUGGUGUCAAAGAGGAGGCGGUAGUUCUCAUUUGUCUUCGGAAUAGAGACGACAUCCAUGAAGCCGGCAGGGUAGGUCUUGUCGGUCCGGACUUUACCAUCAACCAUGACAUGUCGCUGCAUGAGAAUUGAUUGAACUUCACGGUAGGUAAGAGCAUACUUCAACUUAUUUCGGAGAAUAAGGAUAAGAGGCAAACACUCCCUUGCUUUGUGGGGACCAGAUGACGGCUUGGGAGCAAAUGCACCGCCAAGCUUAUCAAGCAUCCAAUGCUUCGGGGCAUUGAGCCUCUUGAGAUGCUUCUUCAAACCCCUAGCCAUGAUUGUUCGAGUUCGG